Molecule: small nuclear RNA, 107 nt
Organism: Molossus molossus (Pallas's mastiff bat)
Lineage: Eukaryota; Metazoa; Chordata; Mammalia; Chiroptera; Molossidae
Source: RefSeq, a predicted model, not a curated record
GUGCUCCCUUUGGCAGCACAUAUACUAAAAUUGGAACAAUACAGGGAAGAUUAGCAUGGCCCCUGUGCAAGGAUGACAUGCAAAUUUAUGAAGCGUUGUUCCAUAUU